UGAGGAAUAUUGGUCAAUGGGCGGGAGCCUGAACCAGCCAAGUCGCGUGAGGGAAGACGGUCCUAUGGAUUGUAAACCUCUUUUGUCGGGGAGCAAAGAGGCCACGUGUGGUCAAAAGCGAGAGUACCCGAAGAAAAAUGCAUCGGCUAACUCCGUGCCAGCAGCCGCGGUAAUACGGAGGAUGCGAGCGUUAUCCGGAUUUAUUGGGUUUAAAGGGUGCGUAGGCGGGACGGUAAGUCAGCGGUAAAAAGUGCGGAGCUCAACUCCGUCGAGCCGUUGAAACUGCCGUUCUUGAGUGAGCGAGAAGUAUGCGGAAUGCGUGGUGUAGCGGUGAAAUGCAUAGAUAUCACGCAGAACUCCGAUUGCGAAGGCAGCAUACCGGCGCUCAACUGACGCUGAAGCACGAAGGCGUGGGUAUCGAACAGGAUUAGAUACC
This 436-nucleotide ribosomal RNA is filed under the name uncultured bacterium. RNAcentral describes it as "bacterial SSU rRNA". It matches the Rfam family "Bacterial small subunit ribosomal RNA", at positions 355 to 786 of the family's 1533-position model. The record is from RNAcentral.